GUUGGUUGGACUCGAACGUCCACAGGAGACGGAGAGGGAGAGGGAGAGGGAGAAAAGGGUGGACAAUCGUCAACCAUCGCGAUCCACCGGCCUCCAUCCUCCGCUGCGCGAUCGAGUGGUUGGUCAAGGCGAGCGAUGUAGCAUCCACCUUCGAUCUUGGCCGUGCUCCCACCUCGACCCCAAAACUGAUCGGUGCCAGCAUUGGCCGGCGGCGGCUCAAAACAACCAACCGACUUCCACGGCAGGCUGUUUUCCAGCAAUUUGAAGUGGUGGAUAUGGAAGUUCUGACAAACUGAAGAUGCAGCAGAACAUAAGCAGGUUCACAAGUUAGAAAAGCUUCAUAGAUCAACCUGCUGGUAAGGUUGAAAGCCCUUUCCACUUUGUCCUCCCAUCCAUUGUCUGUUCUCCCCUUAUCUUGUAAAAGCCUCUUGAUCAUUUUCAUCCAGCACUUUCAAAGGGGUAUGGUGCAUCGUCUGGAAGGUCAAACUGUUACAAGAUCAAAACUAGUUGAAACAGCCACACUUCUUAUUUCUGGGCA
This is a long non-coding RNA of Musa acuminata subsp. malaccensis (wild Malaysian banana), 538 nucleotides long. RefSeq lists it as uncharacterized. NCBI's taxonomy places the organism in Eukaryota, Viridiplantae, Streptophyta, Magnoliopsida, Zingiberales, Musaceae. The record is from RefSeq and is a predicted model, not a curated record.